Molecule: ribosomal RNA, 477 nt
Filed under: unidentified nematode Sourhope farm
Lineage: Eukaryota; Metazoa; Nematoda
Description: SSU rRNA
Rfam family: Eukaryotic small subunit ribosomal RNA
Source: RNAcentral
CAUGCAUGUCUAAGUAUAAACGAUUUAAUCGUGAAACCGCGAAUGGCUCAUUAUAACAGCUAUAAUUUACUUGAUCUUGACACAAUCCUACUUGGAUAACUGUGGUAAUUCUAGAGCUAAUACAUGCAUUAAAGCUCUGACCUCACGGGAAGAGUGCAUUUAUUAGAACAAAACCAAGCGGCUUCGGCUGUUUCUGGUUGACUCAUAGUAACUGAGCUGAUCGCAUGGUCUUGCACCGGCGACGUGUCUUUCAAGUAUCUGCCGUAUCAACUUUCGAUGGUAGUGUAUCUGACUACCAUGGUGAUCACGCGUAACGGAGAAUAAGGGUUCGGCUCCGGAGAGUUCGCCUGAGAAAUCGCGAACACAUCUAAGGAAGGCAGCAGGCGCGAAAAUUACCCACUCUCAGCACGAGGAGGUAGUGACGAAAAAUAACGAGACCGUUCUCUUAUGAGGCCGGUCAUCGGAAUGGGUACAAUU